Non-coding RNA from Biomphalaria pfeifferi, 733 nucleotides. The record is from the annotation of a GenBank genome assembly. Lineage: Eukaryota; Metazoa; Mollusca; Gastropoda; Planorbidae.
UUUCAGCAUCUUUGUAAAUUAUGGAAUUUCCCUACAGUAUAUACAAUUUACAAAAGAAUCUGACAGUUAAAACAGCUCAAGUGAAUUUUAUUUUGACCGCAGUGACAAGCCUAAAGAAUAGACAUCAUGAACAAAGAGAGCAGUGAAAGGGAAAAAAUAAAUUGCAUCAGAAAGAAAAAUAACAGACUUAAAUGGACAAAGAGGAAGAGAAACAAUUUCCAUCCUUAAGAUAUCAUAGCAUUAGAGUUUAUUUUGCUUUAAUUUUAUCUGUUUCUACUAUAUUCAGUCUCCGUACAUUGCUUGUUACUUAAAAAAUUUGCAGAAGAAACUUUUUAACAAAACAUAUGCUUUCUUCUUUUCUAGCGUACCUGCUUUCUUGUCCAUUAGUUACCUCUUUUUUUUUUAAUCUACAAUUUAUGCAAUUUAUGGAACAGAAAAACAACGAAACAAAGUGAACUAACAUAUAUCUGAUCACAAAAAAAGAAAGAGAAUAUAAUGCCACAUUUAGAGAGAAAAGAAUGAUUGAGAAAAGGGAAAAAGACUUCAAACUACAUUUAUAACACUUUGAUUUGAGUUGUGGAGGUAAAACAUUGUUUUCACUACAAUGCUUGAAUUCUUAUCCUGUUUGUAGGGGCAUUAUAAAAAUUUAAAGUAUUCCUUAUAUGACAUAACGUUACAUGAAAACAAUAAAUGUUAUAAAUAUAUAUAUAUAUAUAUAUAUGUGUGUGUGUGU